This 1795-nucleotide long non-coding RNA is filed under the name Homo sapiens (human). RNAcentral describes it as "HSALNT0100278". The record is from RNAcentral. Lineage: Eukaryota; Metazoa; Chordata; Mammalia; Primates; Hominidae.
GCAAUUGUCACUAUUGGCAAAACAGUAGCUAUCUUGUGACCGUGAGAGAGAAAAUAUGGAAAGGAAAUCCAACCAGCUCAGGAUGAGAGGAGGAAAACACACAGUGAGACUCGGUCCCUGAGGCCUCUUGGAGCAGCUGCAAAAGUUCUGGCCUGCCCUCCUAGAGACUCCUUUCGUGAGAAAAAUGAACCUCGUCUGUUUUAGGCCAGUCUUGGGGAGGGCUUCGGCUACUUAACACACUGUCCUGGCUAGUAAGCAAGAGUUGACAGUUUCUACUGUGGUUUGUCUCACUUUUUAUCUAGGCAGUAAAAUGAUCAAUCUUCAAGAGGGUGACGCCACAGACAUCCCCUUCCAUCCGCUUCUGUGCCGAUCAGCUGUGGCAUGAGGGCUACAGCCCCGACGCAGGUGUAAACAUCCGUGUGGCUCUGACACUCCUACACGAGAAUGCUUCUUGGAUUUGCCGUAAAACAGACUAAAAGAACGACAGGUGAAGUCUAAGUACAUGCUAUGUGCUGAGCAUUAUUCUAGGUGCUAUACAAUCAGUAUUAACUCAUUUAAUCUUAACACCACCCCUAAGAUGUAUUAUUUAUUAAUCCCAGUUUACAUAUACAUAUUUAAAGCUCAGAGAGUUUAAGCAACUUAUCUAAAGUCACACGACUGGUGGAACCAAGCACAGGCCCAAGCUGGCAGUCUGGUCUCAUAACCCUGGUGUGUCCACAGUUGGCUCCUUCCGGUGGGUUCUCACUCUGGCUGACUUCAAGAAUUAAGCCGGGGAUCUUCUCGUGAGGAGCCCUCCAGACCUGCUCCAUAGCGACGGCAGGACCUGCCUCCCAGCAGAGCAGAGAUGAGCUAGUCAGGAGCAGGAGAAAUGAUCUUCAGACUCUGGGGCCCAGCAUUCCCCAGGUUUCCUGCAGGUCUCAAAAUCUAUCUUGAACAAACUUGCUUACAUCAUUUAUUUUUAAAUAAAAAAGAACCACUAUUGGGAGAAGGUAGUGCUUGAUUUUUUCUUCUUGGCAGAGUUCAUUCCAUAGCCUGCAUGAAAGCCAAGAUUCUGUGUGUUUGGUUUUGUUAUCUCUGUGCCCUACUCGAGUUUUAUUUAUGGUUGCAAAGCUACAGUGUCUAUAAAUUAGACUUCCAUACAUUUUCUUUUGAUAUUUUAUCUGAAAAGCAAAUAAUAUCAAUGGCAUGCUUACUACUUGAUGAAACUUACUAAGCAGAUCUUACAAUGGUACACUUUUUACCUAGAGUUGUUACAUCUUCUGUUACGAUUCCCACCCAACCUGGGAAAUAAAAGCAAUUUUUACAAAGUUAACCUGAAAAAGAUAAAAAUUCAUUUUUGCUUCAUUCUAAAAUCUCCAGCUGGAAAUGGAGAGAAGAUCAAAUUGUUUGUCAGCUGUGGCUCCCUCCUCCUUUUUGAAGAGAACUAAAUAUGCGUGCUUAGUUAGGCCCAUUGUUUUGUAAAAUCACAUCUAUUUUCUUUGCUAUUGUCGCUGUGAAGCAUGAAUAUAGCAUGCUGCCUGCUGGGCUGGAAAUACACCCGUCGAGCCAAUCCCGUACUUCAUUUAUGAUCUAUUAUUCUCCAUUAUUCCUGCAGAGCUUCUGAUUGCAUUCCUAUUAAUCGUUCUAAUUUGCUCUUCAUUAUGCUAUUUGCCAUUCAGUGUUGGGCCUCUACUCGGUUGACUUCCAGUGUUUAGUAACUUAUGUUGAGAUGCAGCUUUCUUUAGAUUGGUGCCGCUUGAGAACGCAGACACCCAGUAUCUUUGCUGCCUCCGAAAGGGCACCGCAGAGGCCUUAU